CCACAUCUAAUCUAAUUUAAAAUAUAAAAAAAGAAACCUUCCUAUUAAUAGUGUAAUUAAAUUGUUACAUCUAAUUCGACUGGCUGGUUUUCAACGGAUUGUCAUGUUACUGCGACAUCCCUCCAUCUCCCACUUCAGAAGAACUUUGCAGCCUUUUGAUGACCUUUUUGAUGUCCUAGUCGAGAUAAAUGGGAUUAAUGAGAGUAAUGUAACGAGUAGAAUGAAGUUAUGAAGCGACUGAAAGAUUGAAAAAAAAAAAUCUGACAUAUUCUAGAGCAUAUAGUCUUACUGUCUUACAAGUCAUUCCCUUCCUUCCCGUUACUGCAGAAAUUAAAAUAUAAAAUGAUUGCACUUUGCAAAAAAAAUAUUAGAACCUUAGAUUAAAAGCACAUAUAUUGAACUUACAUGAUGUACGGACUAAGGCUGCAUAACAGGACCUCAUUACAAAAUCUUCGAUUAAAAACACAUAAAAAUGGCAAUUAUAAAAUCUAUAAAAUGUUACCUGUAGUGCUUGGCUUUGUAGAUUCUUGGAGCAAUCAACACCAUCUUUAACAGAUUCAGUCACGAUUUUCUUGUUCGAAUAAAGGAACCAAACCUUUCUUCAACCUGAAAUUAUCAUUAUACCAAUAAAAGAACCAAACUUUGCUUCGAUCUGAAAGUAGUGUAAAUUACAAUAAAAGUUGUUGAUAAUCCAACAAGGAGAACAUACUCAAGAGAAACAAUUCGUAGAUAUUAUAUAUAUUUAUAUAUAUGUAUGUGAAUU
RNAcentral lists this long non-coding RNA (763 nucleotides) under Erythranthe guttata (spotted monkey flower). RNAcentral describes it as "long non-coding RNA (EGUT_LNC001737)". The record is from RNAcentral. Lineage: Eukaryota; Viridiplantae; Streptophyta; Magnoliopsida; Lamiales; Phrymaceae.